RNAcentral lists this long non-coding RNA (589 nucleotides) under Bos grunniens (domestic yak). RNAcentral describes it as "lncRNA (ENSBGRG00000005735.1)". The record is from RNAcentral. Lineage: Eukaryota; Metazoa; Chordata; Mammalia; Artiodactyla; Bovidae.
UACUGAUGAAGAAACCAGGUGUCAGAGAGGUUAGGUAACUCCCCUGAUAUCACACAGCUGAUAAGGAGCACAGCCCACAAUCAGACCCAGGGCUAUAAAUAAUGCCAACGUGAGAAGAGGCAAUUCUCACUUCCUGCCUUUGGGAGAGAACUCCUGAUUGUGCUUUGCCAGGAAUCCACUGGCACAAAUUUACUUUUAAAGUUUGCUGGACUUGUGCUCAUUCUACUAAGGACUUGCUUUAUUGGCACAUUGAGUAUUUGCUGACAGUCUCCUGAUUCACUUCUUUAUGCCUUGGCUCCCAUAGAAGUUUUUCCUACGUACUUGGCAUUUAAGAAGCUCACACAGCCACCACUAUAGUCUCAGUUUGGAAGCUGGUGAACUCUGUGUCCUGCCUGGGGAAACGGCACCUGAUAAGAAGAUUCCAGAAUCACUUUUGGGGUCGCGCUCCUAAACAAUUGGAGGGAAAACAACAAACAUCUUCAAGCCAUCUUGAGACUUUCUCCUCCACAGGCAGCUCUUUGGAGUGUUCAGCAGUGUGAAUGAUACCAAAAGGCUGACCCCUUCACCCACCUGUACUUUCUUCAGUUUG